Molecule: long non-coding RNA, 8306 nt
Filed under: Marmota monax (woodchuck)
Lineage: Eukaryota; Metazoa; Chordata; Mammalia; Rodentia; Sciuridae
Source: RNAcentral
CCCUGCUGCUGAGGGAAUUGGCUGGGCAGUCUGUGCUGUCCUGACCACAAGUGGGGUUAGGUUUAUGAGGUGACCUGAGGGCCCUGAGGCCGGCCCCUGGCCCAGGCUGUCUUGGCAUACGGGUGGGGAUGAGGGCUCCUGCCAGCUUGGUACUCUUCCUGGCAGAGGUUCACGAGUAAGCAGGACGUGAUCCGGCACUACAACAUGCACAAGAAGCGGGACAACUCCCUGCAGCACGGCUUCAUGCGCUUCAGCCCCCUGGACGACUGCAGCGUCUACUACCACGGCUGCCACCUCAACGGGAAGAGCACCCACUACCACUGCAUGCAGGUGCCCGCCUCCCCGUCCUCGCCCUGAAGCCCCCCAGCUCAGGCCUUCCUCUAACCCCGACCACAGCAGCCAUGGGCAGGGUCUCUGGGUGCAGGGUGGAGGUAGCUGGUGAGCCAAGAGUCACUGGGCAUGCUGAGGGAGGCUCUGGGGGAGUGGGGAGCAGAAUCUGGUGGCCGAGGCGGGGCCAUCCCCGUGGCCAUACUUGGUGUGGGGGAAAUUCAGUGAGCUGUUUAUACAGACCGACAUUUUUCAGGCUUUAACACCAAGAGCGGCAUUGCAAAUGAUUCCUGAGGAGGUUUUUGUUUAAUUCUUUGUUUUAAUGCCACACUGAGUCUGGGCUUUUUCAAGGUGUCAGGCCCAGGAGGAGCGACUUUGGGUUGCAAAUAGCAGCCUCCUUGCCUCCCCCAUAUUUGUCGAGGGUUGUUAUGGCCUCUGGGGAACAACCUGGGUGUGAGGAGGGGGGCCACCCUGGGCCUGAGACGGUGCAGGCACUGGCACAGCCCAGCCUUUGAGGGUGCUCAGAGGCCACUGGUUUUUACUCAAUAUGGCAACAUUGUCUGCCUGGCCCAGUGCGGGGGGAGGGGCCAUGCCCAGAAAUCAUCCACUAAGCAAGUCCCUGAGCUAAGGUGACCUCCAGGACACAGCCCCUGUCAACUCUGGGGACUGUAGAGGUAGGGCCACAGAUGGGGAUAUAAAACCCAGCAUCUGAAGAGCAUGGCUCCCUCGCCUGGGCCCGAAGCCGCGUGGUCUGAAGACAGCCUGGCCCUCAGGCAGGUUCCGGUUGCUCCCUGGGCGGGGUGGGGGGGUGGUGGUUGGAGGCUUUAUGCCUCGGCCCAGGCACACCUGGGGAGUUUGAGGAUAGAGGUGUCAGCUGUCCCGAGAGGAGACCUGUGCCCAGCCGCCCUCUGACCUUGGCCCAGCUGUGCCAGGACUCAGAUGGCUGCCCGCCAUCCUGGCUGCAGGUGGGCUGCAACAAGGUGUACACGAGCACGUCCGACGUGAUGACCCAUGAGAACUUCCACAAGAAGAACACCCAGCUCAUCAACGAUGGCUUCCAGCGCUUCCGAGCCACCGAGGACUGCGGCACGGCGGACUGCCAGUUCUACGGACAGAAGACCACGCACUUCCACUGCAGGUGAGCCAGCUGUCCACCGGCACCCCAGGCUGGAGGAGGGGCAGGGGAUAGCUUGCUUAAGGCCCUGGUUUGGUGUCCAGCCUGGGUUUUCUGUCACGGGGACUGCCCCCUGUGUGCCCCAUGACAGACCCCCAAUGUCCCAUCCAGGCGUCCUGGCUGCACGUUCACCUUCAAGAACAAGUGUGACAUCGAGAAGCACAAGAGCUACCACAUCAAGGACGACGCCUACGCCAAGGACGGGUUCAAGAAGUUCUACAAGUACGAGGAGUGCAGGUACGAGGGCUGCGUGUACAGCAAGGCCACCAACCACUUCCACUGCAUCCGCGCCGGCUGCGGCUUCACCUUCACCUCCACCAGCCAGAUGACCUCGCACAAGCGCAAGCACGAGCGCCGGCAUGUCCGCUCCUCGGGCGUGCUGGGGCUGCCACCCUCGCUGCUGGGCGCCAAGGACACGGAGCCCGAGGAGUCUAGCAACGACGACCUGGUGGACUUCUCUGCCCUGAGCAGCAAGAACUCCAGCCUGAGCGCCUCCCCCACCAGCCAACAGUCCUCUGCGUCCCUGGCCACUGCCGCUGCCACCACCGAGGGCACGCCCAGUGCCACCAAGCCUCCUAGCAGCAAGAUCCAGGGGCUGAUGCCCCAGGGCCUGCCAGGCUCCAUCCCCCUGGCACUGGCCCUCUCCAACUCGGGCCUGCCCACCACCGCACCGUACUUCCCCCUUCUUCCUGGCCGUGGGAGCACCUCCCUGCCUGUGGGUGCCCCUGGCCUCCUGGGUGCCAUGUCAUCUGGGGCAGGUGCCUCAGCAACCCCCGACACACCUACCUUGGUGGCUUCGGGAGCUGGAGAUUCGGCCCUGGCGACUGCCACCUCUGUCCCGGUGCCCCCUGCCUCCAUCAUGGAGAGAAUCUCUGCGAGCAAGGGCCUCAUCUCACCCAUGAUGGCCAGAUUGGCCGCAGCUGCCCUCAAGCCCUCUGCCACCUUUGACCCAGGUGAGCAGGCCAGGCCCUGCCCAGGAAGCAAGCACCUUCUGGGUCCCAGAGGCUCCAUCCCUGCACUCCUGUUGCAGAGCAGAGUAGGGUGGUGUGGGGGAGCCGUCUGUCUGAUCUCCACCCUCCAGUCUUGCACCAAGCAGUGGCCCCUCUCUGCCUGGUCUCUGCCUCCCUCCUGUGUAUUUCCUCCUCAGAGCCCCACCUGGGCCCCUGCCCAGGGAGUUCUCGCCUGUUUCUCCUGAGGCGGGAACAGUAGGCCCUCCCUCCUGGGAUCCCCUGCAUUCUGUUGGCUCGCUGUGUUCUCACCUCCCACAUCACAGAUGAGUCCCUGAGGAGAGCUGUCCCAGGCCCCCUUCUCCUCUUGAGUCUCCUCCAGAUGACCUGGAGGGGGACAGGUCCAACACAGUGGCAGGGUGACUGCACCUCAUACCUGGACAGCCCUCCAGGCCGAGGGACACCUCUGCAGCUUUCCCCCAGCAGAACUUACACCCCACGCUCUUCAGCAUGGCAGCCACUAGCCAGGUGGCUGUGGAGUGCCCAGCUGGUCAGAGUGAAGAGGCACUGGGUUGCAGUGUGACUCAUUUAAGCAGGCGCACUGGCCAGUGCUCCCUGAUGGACAGUGUGGCCUGCAGCCAAGAGUGGCUUCUUCUGGUCUGGCACUGGCUUGCUACAGGGUGGCCCCCUCCUUCCUCCUUUUUCCUUGCUUCCUUCUUUCUCCUGGUUUCCCUGGCUCCUCUCCCUUUGCUUCCCCAUCUGGGAAUUUGUCUUAGUUGAGCCCUUGAGAAGUGUUCAGCUCCGUCCAGGAGGUGGCUCAUUCAUUCACUCAACAACCCUUGGUGCUUGCUGGGUGCCUGCCGAGGGCUACCACUGAGUGGGUGCUGGGGACACACAGGCAGGAGGAAGUGGAAGCCAGCCCCGUCCUGUGGUGCUGAUGGAGCAGUGGGGUGGCCCGUCCCCAUACACAGCUGAAAGUGACAAAGUUGAGACGGUCCUCAGCACCUUGGCUGCCAGGUCCGGAUACUCUGCUCCCAUUUGAGACCAUCUUGGAACCGGCCAGGACAGACAGAGGGUCCCUUCGUCCCAGCUUGGGGCUCUGCCCACACCUCCUUGAGAGUUCUAGCCCUGGAGGAUAGGGAGCCGGGCCCGUUUUCCUGUGACUGGGGGUAAAUGACUUCAGGAGCUGCUGGGGUGUGGGCUUAUGAAGGCUGAGAACCCUUUCAGGUCCCUGGUGGGGCACUCAGAUCCCAGGGGGCAGUUUAGAGGCCCCACCUUCCACUCCCUGGCCACAACCCCAACCAAGAACUGAGCCCUCCAAGGCCACCCUGGGCUCAGUGGCCAAGCUGUCAAGGACUUUCUUUUUCCUACAAAAGUCUCCUUCCCCUCCCCCGCAAAAGAAAGGUCAGGCGCAGGGGAGGGAGCCAUUUUCCUGUAUUUUUAAUAAAAUGCCACUUGCAGUCUGAAGCAGUCCUGUCAGCUGUAGCGCCUUGGGGCAGAUUAAUAUUUCAGUCACUUGGGGAUUGUGGAGCUGGGCCCAGUGGACACCUUCCUGUCAGCUUCUUUUGCCCCUGAUCUGCUCGGCUUCCUACAGCGUCUUCCCACCCAGCUUCCCCUCAGACCCAUCCUGGCCAGGCCUUGAGCCCCUGCCCUGGACAGCUUGACGGGCGAGGUCACACAGCUCGCUGAUUGGCCGUCAGCUCGGUAGCCCUGACACAGCAGAUGCCCUCUCUGGGCAUGCUCAGUGCAGGCAGGCUGUCUCCCCGGCAACAGCAGGCCAGGGACCAAGGAGGGGCCGCUCUGUCCAGAUCUGCCACUUUCCCUCAGCAUUAACAGAGUCUUUAAUAAAAGCUUAAACGGCAGCCCCAGAAAUCGACUGUGACAGUUGGUGAGGAAAACGAAGGGCCCCUGCACCCGCCCCAGCCCCCUCCUCAGCCUCCCGCCCUUCUCCAGGAGGCCCUGAGCCAGGCCAACUUUGACAUAAUUUUGCAGUAAUUAUCACUUGAAGAAUUGCCACACAGGGGUAAGCGUCUCAAGCGAUCACGUCAGCAGGGAGAAUCGCUGACCACAGUGAGGCCUCCCCAGACCCCUGGCCUACCAGGCUACUGCCCUCCUUUUGUGGGGAAUAGGGUUUGUGCCCAUGUGAAUCCUGGGCCCCUCUGACCCCAUCUUCCCUCCCCUCUCCUGCAGGAAGCGGGCAGCAGGCCACCCCUGCCAGGUUCCCUCCAGCCCAGGUAAAGCUGGAGCCGGGUGAGAGCGCUGGCACCCCAGGCCCCCUUGAGGCCUCCCAGGACCGCAGUCUAGACCUGACUGUAAAGGAAUCCAGGUGAGGUGCUGCUGGAGAGAGAAGCCCUUGACAAGCACCCUGGGCUGGACCCUGGGGUUCAGCUCGCCCUCCUGUCCAGAGCUCACCUCCUGCCAGGCAGCUGCAGCAGGCAGGGCUGGGGGCGGGUAGGCCUCUGGGUUGGUCCCACGGACGUCGGAGCUGAAAGCCCCUUGGUUUGUGUGUUCUAGUAAUGAAUCAAAUGGCCACGCAGCCCCGGCAAAUUCAUCUCUUUUAUCCUCGCUUAUGAAUAAGGUAAGAACCAUCCAUCACACGCCUCCUGCUCCCCCACCCCAAGAAAUUAAAGCUGUGCUGGGGGGUGGGGGGGAUGUGUUUGUUUUUUAAUGUUUUCCCUCUAAUAAGAUGAGUUUGUACCAUUUAAAUUUUGAGGCCAUUUUUCAUCGACUAUAAUUUCAGAGCCACUGCUUACAAAUUAAUUUAAUGAACUGGCUGAAGAAAUAUAUGCCAGCCUCUGACACCUUUUUUUCCCUUCAGAUGGAGGGCUCCAAAAGCUUUUCCGGAGCCCUCUAACUUCUCUCACCCUUAGUUAUUAAUGUUAUUUAUUUAUUUUAUAUAUUUUUUGUUUGUUUAAAAAGGGGUCAGGGAGGGGGGACUAAAGUGGGAGCACAGCAUCAAUUUCCACUUUUCGGGUUGAGUAAUGGUCUCGGACGCCUUCCGGAGAGGUCGCUCUGGAAUAUUUAUUUUAAAUAAUGCAGGGUCUUUGUAAAUUAUACAUCAUCUCAAAUAUAUUUUUCCCCUUCACAUGAUAAACUUGACUGCAGCAAGAUUAAUUUGGUUACUGUACACAGUGAUGGGGCUGAAGAGGGAGCUGGCCCAGGCUGGACCUCGUGGGGUGGGUCCCAGCUGGGCACUUGGCAGGCAGGAGCCUGCUACCUCCUCUCCUCUCCUGCUUGCUCUCUUGCUCUCGUCACUCCUCUGGCCACUGCCCACUGCACGCCUUCUUCCUUCCUGGGGAGCCUGUGGGCUGACCCCCCUCCCCAGCAGCGAGCCUGUCUGCUCUCACCCCAUGAGUGUCCCUCCCUCCCCACACCUCCUUUGUGCACCUUCUCUUGUUCUCAAAGAAUUCAUAGGGGUUCCCCCCAUCCCUCCUCCUCCUGCACUUCCUUUGAAAAACCUUCUGGCAGGAAAAUAACCAGGGAGCCACGAAGUCUGGGGAAGAUGGGCCACAGUGCGCACCCUGAGUGGCGGCCUCAGCGAGAGCAGCGGCUCCAGCAGCACGGGAUUGCUUGGAGAGGCCCUGCGCCUUCAGGCCAGGCCCCCAGCUGUCCAGGCAGGGCCCUUCUCUAGCUGGAGCCCAGGGGGGGCCACAGAUUCCCUCCUCCCUGCCCGGAGUGCUCUGGUGGUCACAGAGCAGCAUGUCUGUCCUGAGGCUCCCAGAGCCGAGCUUGGCCACUGUCUUCACAGAUGUCUCAGGGCAACCCCAGCCUCGGCAGCCUGCUAAGCAUCAAGACAGAAGCAGAGGGGAGCCCUGCUGCAGAGUCCUCACCCUUCCUGGGCAAGGCUGCAAAGGCUGUGGUUCAGGAGAAGCUCUCAGAGCCCUGGAGAGUGUACCUACGCAGGUGAGGAGCUGCCUGAGGGCAGGGAGGGAGGGAGGGCUGGCAGUGGCCCCAGCAGCCUGCCUAGUGGCCAGCAGCAGCCCACCUCUAACUGGAGCCUCCUCCCUGCUGGCUCAUUUGGCUAGGUUUGGUACCAAGGACUUCUGCGACGCCCAGUGUGACUUCCUCCACAAGGCACACUUCCAUUGCGUGGUGGAGGAGUGUGGUGCACUCUUCAGCACCCUGGACGGGGCCAUCAAGCAUGCAAAGUGAGUGGGGCCCUGGGGGCCCUGUCAUCUCUCGCUCAGGGCUCUGCGGGGCUGGAUACCACACAGCCUGUUGCAAUUCCCACCAGACCACAGAGCGGCUGGCUCCUCAGGAGGGAAGUGCCCAAAGGAGGAUGGGCUUCCCGUCUUCCUUCCACACACUCAGCCCCCAGCCAGCUGUGUCCAGAGAGCCCUGCCUGGGCCCCACUCAAUACCCUAGCGCCAGCUGCUCCCAAGCCAGGACCUGUGGGGCUGGCAGCAUGCCCUAGGUGCCCCUGCAGAGUGGCCAGAGACUCAGUGUGGACCCAGGGGUAGAGACCCAGGGCAAAGGCCUUUCCCAUUCCACUGUGACAUCUUGAGUCCCUUUGACCCAGAACAGCAAAAUGAAUCUGUGAAUGCCAUGGAGUUUAAAAGCAGCGAGCCCGGCCACUACUUGUAACUGACUCAAAACCUGUAAGCCUUCAAGACAGAUCUCUGUGCCCUGAGCCCCACACCAGGCCUUUCUCACCACGUGGGCAUCUUGUCCCAGCCGCUGGCCUGCACAGGAGCCUACUGAAUAGUCAGAGCAAGUUUCGUGAGGCAGGGCCUACUCUCACACAUAUACCCAGGGAGGGGACCGCCUGGGCAGAGGCAGGGCACAGGUAGGAAGACAGAGUUAGGGCCAAGCCCAGAGCUAGGGCGCAGCAGUUGUCCUGAGGCUUCCUGUCUUGGUGGGAUCACGGAGAGCUUGCUGAGCAUGAGGUCCCUGUGCUGGGCCCUGGUCUUGUGAUGGGGUCACACCACACCUGCAGCUCCUGUGCACAGGCAGCCAGGGAGGGGCUGGGCUGCAGCGGCCUCUUAGCUCCUCACCUGAUGUGACCUCUCCUGCCCCUUCCAGCUUCCACUUCCGGACGGAGGGCGGAACAGUGAAAGGAAGCUCAGAGGCUUCCUUCCCGGCCUCUGUUGCUGAGACCAAACCUUCCUUGGCACCCUCACCCCCUCCGGCACCUCCUGGCACCACAGUCCCGGGGACCUGUCUGGAAGGACCUGCUCCCAGCCCGGCCUCGGUGCCCUCCACCCCCACCCUGCUCGCCUGGAAGCAGCUGGCUUCCACCAUACCCCAGAUGCCUCAGAUUCCCGCAUCAGUGCCUCACCUGCCCGCCUCACCCUUGGCGACGACUUCUCUAGAGAAUGCCAAGCCCCAGGUCAAACCCGGAUUCCUCCAGUUCCAGGAGAAGUGAGUCCCUCGAUGAGCCGGGCGCCCCGUCCCCAAGCGUCUUGGGAGUGGGUGUGGCAAGGGCAGGAGGAGGCCCUGUUCCUCACCGUGCAGAGUUAACACUGGAUGUCCCCACCCUCUGGGAAACGGCCUCUGGGCCACAUCCUUCUAGCCAAAGAUGCUGUGCUUGCGCCGCCACUCUGCCCAUCCCAAGCAGCCAGUGGGUGGUGGGUAGCAGCAGUAGUCCCCAGGACCAGUUGGGAUGGGCUGAGAGUGGAUUCUCAGGUCUCCUGGCCCAACAGGGAGGGUCUCCCUUGCUGGCCUCUUCAGUGGCUCGAACCUGCUGAGAUUGCAGGGCCAGGGAAGUCACAGGUGGGUGUGAUGGGCUAGGCCCCUCCCAGGCCUGCACUCCCUGCAUAGUGGCCUGAGUCUCGGGUGGAAGGGACCUUUCUCACUGAAUGGUGGUGGCUCCUUGCGGCGAGAACGGUGACUUUGUAUCGUAAUGUGUGCGGCUUCCU